CCAUCGGAGUAGCAGCAAUUUAAC
Molecule: non-coding RNA, 24 nt
Filed under: Cricetulus griseus (Chinese hamster)
Lineage: Eukaryota; Metazoa; Chordata; Mammalia; Rodentia; Cricetidae
Source: RNAcentral